Molecule: transfer RNA, 80 nt
Filed under: Araneus ventricosus
Lineage: Eukaryota; Metazoa; Arthropoda; Arachnida; Araneae; Araneidae
Rfam family: tRNA
About the family: Transfer RNA (tRNA) molecules are approximately 80 nucleotides in length.
Source: Rfam by way of RNAcentral
GCAGUCGUGGCCGAGUGGUUAAGGCGUGGACUCGAAAUCCAUUGGGGUUUCCCGCGUAGGUUCGAAUCCUACCGGCUGCG